CCAAGGAGUCUAACAUGUGCGCGAGUCGUCGGGUCUUGAAUAGGCCCGCAGGCGUAAUGAAAGUGAAGGGCGACCUCGGCGUCGCCUGCGUUGGGAUCCCCGGUUCCUCGGGUCCGGGGCGCACCAACGGCCCGUCUCAUCCGCCUCGUCGGUGGGACGGAGCGAGAGCGUACACGUUGGGACCCGAAAGAUGGUGAACUAUGCCUGGGCAGGACGAGGCCAGAGGAAACUCUGGUGGAGGUCCGCAGCGAUUCUGACGUGCAAAUCGAUCGUCAGACCUGGGUAUAGGGGCGAAAGACUAAUCGAACCAUC
RNAcentral lists this ribosomal RNA (312 nucleotides) under Pandinus dictator. RNAcentral describes it as "eukaryotic LSU rRNA". It matches the Rfam family "Eukaryotic large subunit ribosomal RNA", at positions 666 to 944 of the family's 3401-position model. The record is from RNAcentral. Lineage: Eukaryota; Metazoa; Arthropoda; Arachnida; Scorpiones; Scorpionidae.